UACGGAGGGUGCAAACGUUGCUCGGAAUUAUUGGGCGUAAAGCGCACGUAGGCGGCACGCUAUGUCGGGUGUGAAAUCCCUCGGCUUAACCGAGGAAGUGCAUUCGAAACUGGCGCGCUGGAGUACUGAAGAGGGUCGCGGAAUUCCCGGUGUAGAGGUGAAAUUCGUAGAUAUCGUUUGGAACGCCAAUGGUGAAAACAGGUUGCUGGGAGUGUGCUGACGCUGAGACACGAAAGCCAGGGGAGCAAACGGG
Molecule: ribosomal RNA, 253 nt
Filed under: uncultured bacterium
Lineage: Bacteria
Description: partial 16S ribosomal RNA
Rfam family: Bacterial small subunit ribosomal RNA
Source: RNAcentral